Molecule: long non-coding RNA, 260 nt
Organism: Tachysurus vachellii
Lineage: Eukaryota; Metazoa; Chordata; Actinopteri; Siluriformes; Bagridae
Exons: 3
Source: RefSeq, a predicted model, not a curated record
GAGGGAUCUGAUGCUGUAGUGAUCUGCCUUGCUGUAGCGUUAACAGUGUGUGUGGUGGUGAUUUUUGCUCAACUCAACAUUUUAAUGUGUAAAAAACAAAAGAUGGAAAAACACAGAGUGAGACUUCUACAAGGUUCACUGAAGGAGGAAACACACAAUGAGGGCCGUGAUGCUGAGGAGCUGAAUUACGCUGCCCUGAAUUUCACCAAGAGGAAAAUUAAAAGUGGAAGAAUAAAAAAAGGACAAAAUCAAGACACGGU